AGCGAACGCUGGCGGCAGGCUUAACACAUGCAAGUCGAGAGGGCGUAGCAAUACGUCAGCGGCAGACGGGUGAGUAACGCGUGGGAACGUACCUUUUGGUCGGCACAACACAGGGAAACUUGUGCUAAUACCGGAUAAGCCCUUACGGCGAAAGGUUUAUCGCGGAGAGAUCGGACCGCAUCUGAGUAGCUAGUUGGUAGGGUAAUGGCCUACCAAGGCGACGAUCAGUAGCUGGUCUGAGAGGAUGACCAGCCACAUGGGGACGAAGACACGGCCCAAACUCCUACGGGAGGCAGCAGUGGGGAAUAGUGGACAAUGGGGGCAACCCUGAUCCAGCCAUGCCGCGUGAGUGAUGAAGGCCCUAGGGUUGUAAAGCUCUGUUGUGCGGGAAGAUAAUGACGGUACCGCAAGAAUAAGCCCCGGCUAACUUCGUGCCAGCCGCCGCCGUAA
RNAcentral lists this ribosomal RNA (450 nucleotides) under uncultured bacterium. RNAcentral's name for it is "partial 16S ribosomal RNA". It matches the Rfam family "Bacterial small subunit ribosomal RNA", at positions 29 to 523 of the family's 1533-position model. The record is from RNAcentral.